AGAACCUAUAAAAGCAAUAAAACUGAGAAGCUGAUUGUUUUGCAAAAACAAAAUGAUCUCUCCAAAUUUUUAGUAGUAAGAAGUGAAACUAAUAUGGUGACCUUUGAGAUCUGUUGCCAGCGGCAGUCCUACAUAUGCUUUCAAUAGAGCUGACAGAUCACAUAAUGUGUUGGACCAUAAAAAGCCCCCUAAAAUUUUAUCAUGCUGUCCGCCAGGAGAAGAGACUUGAAGACACUUGUCCUGACAUUGACAGUGUCUGUGCACUUCUCCCUUUGCUUCUGUAAGUGCAGGAUCAGCACAAUAUUGCUUCCUCCUGAACUGGGAGUACUAUAAAUGUUUAUACUCAAUGAAAAGGAGAGGAAAAGAUGGUGGGAAGAGGAAUACAGCAGAAGCAGUGGGAUAUGUGCAAGUCUGCUGUCAACACACAAGAUGCAAACUGGAUCACUUGCAGCCCAUUCUGUGCUGUUCUGCAGGUGUAAAAUUCCUCUUCAUCUGGCUGCAUUUGUGUUUCAGUAUGAUUUUUCAUUUUAAAAGAAGCCCCAAAGUUCAGAAAAGGGAGGACAAAAAAGAAGAGAGCUAAUCCACUGUAGUGAAGACAAAUGGCAAAGAACUGUGAGAGGCUUUGAGGAUGAGAUGCUUUGGCUGCUCUACUACUUCAGGAAAAUGCUGCACCUGCUGAGACUUCAGGGGUUGUGACAUCAACUACAGCUCAGAGAAAGGCACUGGGCAGAGGACAACUAUUGGUACCUUAUGCAAUAUUGUAUAAAUUACCACUCUGAGCAGAUGUGCAUAGUUUAAGUCUUUUCCUAGAGUUAUUAUGGUCAAAACCAAGAGUCAAAAUGUUGGUCAAGAAUAAAAUAUCUCAACUCAGAACUUUUGGAUUUGUUUUUUUUCUACCCGCAGUUCUUCCACUU
Long non-coding RNA from Passer domesticus (house sparrow), 914 nucleotides. RefSeq lists it as uncharacterized. The transcript is spliced from 3 exons. The record is from RefSeq and is a predicted model, not a curated record. Lineage: Eukaryota; Metazoa; Chordata; Aves; Passeriformes; Passeridae.